This 230-nucleotide ribosomal RNA is filed under the name uncultured bacterium. RNAcentral's name for it is "partial 16S ribosomal RNA". It matches the Rfam family "Bacterial small subunit ribosomal RNA", at positions 568 to 797 of the family's 1533-position model. The record is from RNAcentral.
UGCGUAGGCGGAAUAUUAAGUCAGUGGUGAAAUCCUGCGGCUCAACCGUAGAACUGCCAUUGAUACUGAUAUUCUUGAAUGUAGUUGAGGUAGGCGGAAUGUGUAAUGUAGCGGUGAAAUGCUUAGAUAUUACACAGAACACCGAUUGCGAAGGCAGCUUACUAAACUAUGAUUGACGCUGAGGCACGAAAGCGUGGGGAGCGAACAGGAUUAGAUACCCUGGUAGUCCA